GCCUCAGUAACGGCGAGUGAAGCGGCAAAAGCUCAAAUUUGAAGUCUGGCUCUUUUAGGGUCCGAGUUGUAAUUUGUAGAAGAUGUUUCGGGUGUGGCUCCGGUUUAAGUUCUUUGGAAUAUUACAUCAUAGAGGGUGAGAAUCCCGUAUGUGACCGGCAGCCUCCGCCUAUGUGAAACUCUUUCGACGAGUCGAGUUGUUUGGGAAUGCAGCUCAAAAUGGGAGGUAUAUUUCUUCUAAAGCUAAAUAUUGGCCAGAGACCGAUAGCGCACAAGUAGAGUGAUCGAAAGAUGAAAAGCACUUUGGAAAGAGAGUUAAACAGUACGUGAAAUUGUUGAAAGGGAAGCGCUUGCAACCAGACUUGCACGCAGUUGAUCAUCCGGUGUUCUCACCGGGGCACUCUGCUGCGUUCAGGCCAGCAUCGGUUUUGGUGGUUGGAUAAAGGCCUUGGGAAUGUGGCUUCCUUCGGGGAGUGUUAUAGCCCUCGGUGCAAUGCAGCCUACCGGGACCGAGGACCGCGCUUCGGCUAGGAUGC
RNAcentral lists this ribosomal RNA (535 nucleotides) under uncultured Tetracladium. RNAcentral's name for it is "eukaryotic LSU rRNA". It matches the Rfam family "Eukaryotic large subunit ribosomal RNA", at positions 77 to 626 of the family's 3401-position model. The record is from RNAcentral. Lineage: Eukaryota; Fungi; Ascomycota.